Molecule: long non-coding RNA, 2422 nt
Organism: Lagopus leucura (white-tailed ptarmigan)
Lineage: Eukaryota; Metazoa; Chordata; Aves; Galliformes; Phasianidae
Exons: 7
Source: RefSeq, a predicted model, not a curated record
GGCUGCAAAACAUCUGUGUUCCCAGACAGAAGAAUAGCAGAGGUACUUAGAGCAGUUCCAUUACCCAAAAAAGCUGUCUCUAAGGUCUGUGGCAUUUGACAGACCCCCCUCGGGUUUGAUCUCACCAGAGAAACGGAACAAGCAAAACCUUCCGAAGUAGAAGCUGAAGUUUUAGAAGUACCCACAACGGGACUUGGAAAGACCCACUCCUCACGACUGUAAUUGAAAGAGUGUCCCAACUGAACAGCCAUGACAUUACAAUGCUUCUGGACUACUCCCUACCCUUUUGAUGUCACAUCUCAGAGAACACAGGGAAAAGCAGCAAAGUUGCCUAUAAACAAUCUCAUGACCAAGGCGCAGAUACACAGCUCAGAUGCAGGUCCCUUUACAUUGCCUUUAUAGCAUCAAGACCUGUUUCACAUCAGGCUAAGUUGCACAGCUCACCUAAAGUGAAACAAGAUGGACACCCUUUGAGGCUGCACAGCAACAGGGCUACCUUGGAGCUAGCAGCAGUGAUAGCAGCUGAGGAAAAGCCCUCUUAUCAGCACUGCACAUUGCCUCCACAACAGAUACCGUGGUGGGAUAAGGAGGAUGGAUAGAGCAAGCUGCUACCGUGGAAAAAUAAUAUAUGGUCCUCUACCCUACACUCAGUGAGUUACCUGCUGCCACAACAAACUGGUCAGUGGACAUACAUAAUGCCUCAGUGUUAAUGUCUGAAGGAAAACUUGGUUUUGCUCUGUUCCUUUCUAUAAGACUCUUCGCAAUGAUUUUACCUACUCAAUAGUAAGGUUUUCAUCAUAGGUUUUUAAAAUGUUUUUUCAUCGAAGAACAGCUUUCCCACCUAUCACAUUUUUUUUUAAAUUCAGAUUUUUCUGUCAUCAUACAAUUCAGCAUUAGGAGAUAUGCUAGAAUUUAGCAAUGAAUACCAUAAUCUAGUUCACAUUUUCAAACUCGUAGGAUUUUUCUUCUAGGUACAGUCAACUCUUUUCCAAGAUGAUGGGAGAGGCUCUUGGAACACAAAAGGAAUCUGGGCCAGUAGGAAGAAAAAAAAAAAAAUACUGUCUUUGGUACAAUGUUUUCUGGUAUCCCCUAUUUAGCAUUUGGGAUACCAGAAAACACUGUACCAAAGACAGUUAAUAUUAGCUAAGGUCAGCAGGAAUGACAAAUUCAGAUUCACUACUGGUGCAAGACUUGCUUGCAAAACUACAUCACAGACAAGCUUUCAUGCAUAGAAAAGCAGAUUUUUUUUUUUCCAUUAAAAAAAUCCUAAAAAAAAAUAAAUUGUUUUGAUGAGCUUUUAAUGAUGGUGGUUCCAACAAGGCUUUCUCAGCUCUUCUUCAUGCAGUCCAGUUCUGUUGCGCACUGAGAGAGGAUUUUGUGGCUGUUCAUAGAGCAAGCAAGCUUGUAGGGAAUCAGGAACAAGUGAAAACAAAACAGAAAAACAGUGAUGAUUUUGUUCAAAGCAUAGAUGAGAUGCAAUCAUGUGUUCAUAAUAUUGCAAAAGCUCCAUCCACUUUCUUCAAGGAAAAUUGAGACCAUAGUGACAAUGGUUGGAGCUGGUGCCUAAAACUCAAACCUGGAGGCAGGUUUACUACAGGCAACUACCACACAGGUUAAACCACAACACUUCUGGAAGAGCUGCUUAGAAGCUGAUCAAAAGUUUUUCCAUCUCACUCUGAUGCAAUACUAAGCAGAAUUACCAAAUUCAGCAUCAUUUUCCUCCUCAGGAUUCUACCCCUCUUACGUGGAAAUCCUUAACUGAUUGCAACUUACUCCCCUACAGCUCAUUAAAACACCCUCUCAGAUCAGCAAUGACUGGCUUCAGAGACCUAAGAUUUCGUGAGGACAGACCUUGCUAAUCACACAGGAUUUAUUAGUUGAGCAUUACUUUUUUUAUUAUUUUUUGUAAAUAACUUUACUCACCUGACCAGACCUAUGAAUUGUCCACUCAGGUGCAAAGGGGAAAAAAAAAAAACCAGUCUAUUUGGAUGCAGAACCACAUUCAAGCAAUUUCUUCCUUCUCACUGUUUCUUUUUUGAGUAUGUCAAUAACUGCUCCUAAUAUAUUUUAGUUUUGCUCUUGCUGCAGUUCCUACUGAGAGAGCAGCAGGACUCUGCCUUCUAUUUCUGACCUCACAAUGCAUAUGAAGAGGCUAUCUGAGACAACUGUGAGAAACUUUCAACACUUAUUUCCUUAGUUCAUCCAGUACAUCUGGCUUCUAAAGCAGCGAUUUCAAAAUCCAGGGAAAUCCUACUGGAGAGAAAACCAAUGUUCUUACUUUUCAAGGCUGUUGACUGCUGCUGGUUGGAUUGGGAACGUGCACAAACAAAGGUGUCUCAGAAGAAUAUUGCUCUCUGCUCUGUAAAGCUUUUUGUGCUGACAGAAAAGUUCUAUGGAAUAAAAUGAAAACGGAUUAAAGUGA